RNAcentral lists this ribosomal RNA (1182 nucleotides) under Psychrobacter nivimaris. RNAcentral's name for it is "bacterial SSU rRNA". It matches the Rfam family "Bacterial small subunit ribosomal RNA", at positions 155 to 1333 of the family's 1533-position model. The record is from RNAcentral. Lineage: Bacteria; Pseudomonadati; Pseudomonadota; Gammaproteobacteria; Moraxellales; Moraxellaceae.
AACUCGUAUUAAUACCGCAUACGACCUACGGGAGAAAGGGGGCAGUUUACUGCUCUCGCUAUUAGAUGAGCCUAAGUCGGAUUAGCUAGAUGGUGGGGUAAAGGCCUACCAUGGCGACGAUCUGUAGCUGGUCUGAGAGGAUGAUCAGCCACACCGGGACUGAGACACGGCCCGGACUCCUACGGGAGGCAGCAGUGGGGAAUAUUGGACAAUGGGGGAAACCCUGAUCCAGCCAUGCCGCGUGUGUGAAGAAGGCCUUUUGGUUGUAAAGCACUUUAAGCAGUGAAGAAGACUCUUCGGUUAAUACCCGGAGACGAUGACAUUAGCUGCAGAAUAAGCACCGGCUAACUCUGUGCCAGCAGCCGCGGUAAUACAGAGGGUGCAAGCGUUAAUCGGAAUUACUGGGCGUAAAGCGAGCGUAGGUGGCUUGAUAAGUCAGAUGUGAAAUCCCCGGGCUUAACCUGGGAACUGCAUCUGAAACUGUUAGGCUAGAGUAGGUGAGAGGGAAGUAGAAUUUCAGGUGUAGCGGUGAAAUGCGUAGAGAUCUGAAGGAAUACCGAUGGCGAAGGCAGCUUCCUGGCAUCAUACUGACACUGAGGCUCGAAAGCGUGGGUAGCAAACAGGAUUAGAUACCCUGGUAGUCCACGCUGUAAACGAUGUCUACUAGUCGUUGGGUCCCUUGAGGACUUAGUGACGCAGCUAACGCAAUAAGUAGACCGCCUGGGGAGUACGGCCGCAAGGUUAAAACUCAAAUGAAUUGACGGGGGCCCGCACAAGCGGUGGAGCAUGUGGUUUAUUUCGAUGCAACGCGAAGAACCUUACCUGGUCUUGACAUAUCUAGAAUCCUGCAGAGAUGCGGGAGUGCCUUCGGGAAUUAGAAUACAGGUGCUGCAUGGCUGUCGUCAGCUCGUGUCGUGAGAUGUUGGGUUAAGUCCCGCAACGAGCGCAACCCUUGUCCUUAGUUACCAUCGGGUUAAGCCGGGAACUUUAAGGAUACUGCCAGUGACAAACUGGAGGAAGGCGGGGACGACGUCAAGUCAUCAUGGCCCCUACGACCAGGGCUACACACGUGCUACAAUGGUAGGUACAGAGGGCAGCUACACAGCCGAUGUGAUGCGAAUCUCAAAAAGCCUAUCGUAGUCCAGAUUGGAGUCCGCAACUCGACUCCAUGAAGUAGGAAUC